GCAUGGGUUUGGAUUUAUGAUAGGCCCAACCCCCUGGGCCUCUCAUAGUACCCCAUGCCAGGGCAAACUGGCACCAAAUCACUGCCUGGCCUCUAUGCCCAUAGGCUGCUGGCAGUGGAGCAGGUUGCACAGUG
Molecule: small nucleolar RNA, 134 nt
Organism: Cynocephalus volans (Philippine flying lemur)
Lineage: Eukaryota; Metazoa; Chordata; Mammalia; Dermoptera; Cynocephalidae
Product: small nucleolar RNA SNORA42/SNORA80 family
Exons: 1
Source: RefSeq, a predicted model, not a curated record